CUAACGAGGAUUCCCCGAGUAGCGGCGAGCGAAAAGGGAAGAGCCCAUCGCUGAAUCCCGCGGUCCCAGCGGACGCCGGGAAAUGUAGCGUUAGGGAGGAGAGUUAAAUUUAUACACGCGCGGUCUCAUAGUCACGGUCACCUGUCCAAGUUCAUCUUGAACGGGGCUCCGAUUGCCCACAGAGGGUGCCAGGCCCGUAGCGACGGUGGCCGGCCGCGACGGUCUCUCUCCCCAGAGUCGGGUUGCUUGAGAGUGCAGCCCUAAGCGGGUGGUAAACUCCAUCUAAGGCUAAAUACGACCACGAGACCGAUAGCGAACAAGUACC
RNAcentral lists this ribosomal RNA (325 nucleotides) under Anchitrichia spangleri. RNAcentral describes it as "eukaryotic LSU rRNA". It matches the Rfam family "Eukaryotic large subunit ribosomal RNA", at positions 65 to 352 of the family's 3401-position model. The record is from RNAcentral. Lineage: Eukaryota; Metazoa; Arthropoda; Insecta; Trichoptera; Hydroptilidae.